Molecule: ribosomal RNA, 510 nt
Filed under: uncultured bacterium
Lineage: Bacteria
Description: partial 16S ribosomal RNA
Rfam family: Bacterial small subunit ribosomal RNA
Source: RNAcentral
GACGAACGCUGGCGGCGUGCUUAACACAUGCAAGUCGAACGAAGAGCGAUGGAAGUUUGCUUCUAUCAAUCUGAGUGGCGAACGGGUGAGUAACGCGGAAUCAACCUGUCUUUCAGUGGGGGACAACAGUUGGAAACGAGUGCUAAUACCGCAUACGAUCUAAUCUCGGCAUCGAGGAGAGAUGAAAGGUGGUCUCUUCAUGUAUGCUAUCACUGCAGGAGGGGAUUGCGGCUGAUUAGCUAGCUGGCGGGGUAACGGCCCACCCAGGGGAUGAUAGGGAGUCGGACUGAGAGGGUGAACGGCCCAAUUGGGAAUGAGACACGGCCCCGACGUCUACGGGAGGCAGCAGUGGGGAAUCCUCCGCAAAGGAGGGAAGGCUGACGGAGCCACGGCCGGUGAGGGAUGGAGGCCCUCGGGUUGUAAAGAUCCGUUAAUCGGGACGAAAGGCCUUCUUGCGAAUAGUGGGACGGCUUGACGGUACCUGAAUAGAAAGCCACGGCUAACUACGUG